This 467-nucleotide ribosomal RNA is filed under the name uncultured bacterium. RNAcentral's name for it is "partial 16S ribosomal RNA". It matches the Rfam family "Bacterial small subunit ribosomal RNA", at positions 28 to 506 of the family's 1533-position model. The record is from RNAcentral.
GACGAACGCUGGCGGCGUGCUUAACACAUGCAAGUCGAACGGAAAGGCCCUGCUUUUGUGGGGUGCUCGAGUGGCGAACGGGUGAGUAACACGUGAGUAACCUGCCCUUGACUUUGGGAUAACUUCAGGAAACUGGGGCUAAUACCGGAUAGGAGCUCCUGCUGCAUGGUGGGGGUUGGAAAGUUUCGGCGGUUGGGGAUGGACUCGCGGCUUAUCAGCUUGUUGGUGGGGUAGUGGCUUACCAAGGCUUUGACGGGUAGCCGGCCUGAGAGGGUGACCGGCCACAUUGGGACUGAGAUACGGCCCAGACUCCUACGGGAGGCAGCAGUGGGGAAUAUGGCACAAGGGGCGGAAGCCUGAGGCAGCAACGCCGCGUGCGGGAUGACGGCCUUCGGGUUGUAAACCGCUUUCGCCUGUGACGAAGCGUGAGUGAAGGUAAUGGGGAAAGAAGCACCGGCUAACUACGU